CUCUUCGAUGAACAAAGCAAACAGUUUCAUGAUUUCAAACACAGUCGUCAGUCCAAGAUUUUAAACACGGUCGUCAGUCCAAAUUCAAACACGAAACAAAAGUCAAAAAAACACUGGACAAUACCACAGAAAACAAUCCAGACAAAUAAGACCAAGACAAAGCAUCCUAUAACCAAUUUCCACAGAUGCCUGGUACCUUCAGUACCUGGCCCAAACUGCAGCUUAACCUUAGCUGCUUCCGGGAUACCAAACACAGAAACAGAAUACAGACAACAGACACUAACACAUCUAAGCACACUUGUCCGUGCCUAUACUUAAAUAGGCAGCCGAACUCGACCUCCAAAGUCACAGUCAGAUCUUUUUGACUGUCCGUUGCCGGGUCCUCCCGACAAAAUUCGGC
This 400-nucleotide long non-coding RNA is filed under the name Rattus norvegicus (Norway rat). RNAcentral's name for it is "long non-coding RNA NONRATT010268". Lineage: Eukaryota; Metazoa; Chordata; Mammalia; Rodentia; Muridae. The record is from RNAcentral.